CACACAGCUGACACAACAGUAGAGACUUUCCAGAAGAACAGGUUCUCCUGGACCUUAUUUUCUACACUUCUGUUACUACACCAGGUGCUUACAGGUGGAAACUCAAGCAAAGACAAUGUCCUCAAAGCACUAGCGUAUGGUAUACACUGACAUCUGUCACAUACACAGUGGCCAGCUCACUACUACUCUAAAAUGAGCUUACCAACAGGCCUCAAGAGCCCUACACAACAGAGCCAGUCUUCAGUGCUACCCAACUUCGCGGGGCAAUCAAGACCUGUUCCAUUGCAGUUACCACCACUAGACCUACUUUCUGUGAAAGUAAGAAGUCCCCGAAACUACCUGGAACAGAUACUAACAAAGAAAAGGUCUCAAAUUAUCACAGUUUCCUUUUCAAGCAUCUGAUGAUGGCAAAUGGAACUGAGAGUAAAACCUAGGCUUGGAACACUCGAGAACACAGCAUGUAUUUCAGUGCUCAUUGCCUGAGGCAGCAGUGUACUUCAGAUGAUGGACAAUUAUCUCCUUUUUCUGAGGAAACUUGCUGAGCAUGGAGCUUCAAGUCCGUUUUUUAUUUCCAUUGUGUGAUUGGGAUAUUCCCUCUAUCAUUCUUCUUCCUAUAGGGUUGCCAA
Long non-coding RNA from Manis javanica (Malayan pangolin), 626 nucleotides. RefSeq lists it as uncharacterized. The record is from RefSeq and is a predicted model, not a curated record. NCBI's taxonomy places the organism in Eukaryota, Metazoa, Chordata, Mammalia, Pholidota, Manidae.